CUCCUGUUUUCCCUCUUCUCUCUAAACCCCACAAACCCUAACACCUCUCAUUCUUCAUAAUUAUCUUCUUCAUUCUCUCUCCAAAACAUUGAAGAUGAGGGUUCAGAAAUCUGAGGGUAAGAACAUGUUGUGGGGUGUGUGUUAAACGACGACAGAGUUUUGGGAAGAGUGGCACCGAGAAGCUUCGUCUGGAAUCGGCGGAGACAAUCGACAUUGAGUGUAGGAAGGAGUGUUCUGGUUUUCUGAUUUUGAGUAAGGAGGUUUUUUGCUACAAAAGAGGUUUUUUGCUAUUGCUGAAACAGGGCCAGAAAUUAAGACUGUUUUAGAAGUCGAAUGUAAGGUCGGUGAAGAGAUAGCCGAUAAUUCAUGGUAUCUUAUUUUGCUCAAUGUUCAAUUCUUUUUCCAUAUGCAUUCAGGGCCUCAUUCAUGGUCUAUUAUUUUGAUGACUUUUAUUUCAUUUAUUCAUCCAUAGAGUUUUAUAAAGUGAAAUUAUACUACUUAGAUUUUUUAUAUCAGUUUUUCAUGGUCUGUUACUUUCCUACAUAACGAGAAUAAAAGUCAACUUGAAUCUAUGAAAUGGUUAAAUAUUAAUAUCAGUCGUGAUAUCUGGCAAUUUUUGAAAUUUGAUGGAAAUGCUGUCAUUUGAGAGAUGUACUAUUACUUCAUUUCAAAGAAUUGACUUACCUUAUGUUUUGAUUUUCAAAAUUUUGUACCAUUGGAGAAAAGUCAGGACUGUAUUGGGCUCCUAUCUUUGUCAGGCAAUCCAAUUUUAGACUCCCAGCUGAUAAUAAAGUGCCUGUAAUUAUGAUAGGUCCUGGCACUGGGUUGGCUCCUUUCCGAGGUUUCUUGCAGGAAAGAUUAGCUCUGAAAGAAGAUGGAGCUGAACUGGGCCCCUCUGUUUUAUUCUUUGGAUGUAGGAACCGUUCAGUGGACUAUAUUCAUGAAGACGAAUUGAACCACUUUGUUAAUGGUGGUGCACUUUCUGAGCUCAUUGUUGCCUUCUCACGAAAUGGCCCACAAAGGAAUAUGUCCAACAUUAAAUGAUGGAGAAGGGUAUGGCUAGGGAUAUGUACACUGCACUCUGCAUGCAAUUUUGCAAGAGCAGGCCUGGGGUUGGCACUACUGCUAUGAGAGAGAUUGCUCGUGUAAUGUCAGAUGACUUUCACAAAAUAGUGGUAAAUUGAUUUUGCAGCAUCUCACUGCAAGCCGUUUUUUUUUCUUCCUAAAAGUAGUGUUAUAAAUCAGUUCAUGAUAGAAUGAAUUCUUGAUUGAGAUGAGAGACAGACACUCCUGGCUUACACAUCAGGUGUGUUAAUUUGAGCUUUUAUUACUUAAUUCAUGAAAUGUUCAUAACUUCAUAU
Vicia villosa (hairy vetch) is the source of this 1361-nucleotide long non-coding RNA. RefSeq lists it as uncharacterized. The record is from RefSeq and is a predicted model, not a curated record. The transcript has 6 exons. NCBI's taxonomy places the organism in Eukaryota, Viridiplantae, Streptophyta, Magnoliopsida, Fabales, Fabaceae.